UUUUAGACUUGCUCUGCAUGUCGGGCUCCCUGCACUUUGGUGCGGCCAACCGACAUGGGGCUGUCUCUUCACUCUCCCUCCCGUCGUCAAUUUUUUCGGGAUUGGGAUGCUCGUGAUCGGUUGCCUGUGUGGAUCUACCCUCUCGUUGGUAGCGAAGUCGUCCCUUGAUGGAUAUUUGCUUGCCCAGCUGACAUUGUUUUGUCGCUUGGUCAGCCGAAAUGUUGGCAGAAUCCUUGUGUUGUUGCGUGGUGGAAUGCCUUGCUGCUAUCGCUUGGAUUUUUGCCGGCUCUAACGGAUGCGGUGCCUAUUGCAAGCUCUGCGGGCCUCCGUCCCGCAGACUUCGGGAGGUCCCUUGUACGGGAACAUUGCUCUUGCGUGCGUUUGUCGUGUCGUCGGUGGCGACACGCGAAUUAAGUUUUGCCGUGUUGUCGGUGGCGACACGUCAAAACUGGGUGUGCGGAGCGUGCUCACGUGCAUGCGGAGUGCCUCUUCGUUCGUUUGUAUGAGCAGCGAUUUCCGGUUUGCGUCAUGCGAAGGCCCGCCCAUCUACAUGGGUUGGUGCUGGAGCUGAUGCGCCGGCUCUCGUUUAAGACGUGC
Molecule: unclassified non-coding RNA, 597 nt
Filed under: Carex tsiangii
Lineage: Eukaryota; Viridiplantae; Streptophyta; Magnoliopsida; Poales; Cyperaceae
Description: external transcribed spacer 1
Source: RNAcentral